AGAAGGUGAAGAGUGCAUGGCUGCAGAGUGAGGAGGAUGACGAAGACAUUGAAAGUGGAAGAAAUAUAGGUCCAUCAUCUCCCAGCUUCAAAAUUUAUUGCAGAGAACCGAAGAACAAGGCGGAAAUAUUUCCUGAGUCACAGGAUCUAGCUGAUGAUGAGAACCAACUCCAGAAGUCACCCAGUGAGAAUAGUUUUGAAAGCUUUGGAGCUUCAGUUGGCAAUACAGAGAACUCCAACGAGAUUUUUAACAUUAAAUCAGCUUCGAAGAGAAAAGGGAAAAUGAAAGAGGC
RNAcentral lists this small RNA (292 nucleotides) under Vigna angularis var. angularis. Its description in RNAcentral is "Non-protein coding transcript". Lineage: Eukaryota; Viridiplantae; Streptophyta; Magnoliopsida; Fabales; Fabaceae. The record is from RNAcentral.